GAUGAAGAACGCAGCGAAAUGCGAUAAGUAAUGCGAAUUGCAGAAUUCAGUGAGUCAUCGAAUCUUUGAACGCACAUUGCGCCCUGUGGUAUUCCGCAGGGCAUGCCUGUUCGAGCGUCAUUUCAACCCUCAAGCCCCGCUUGGUGUUGGGCCCCGCCCGCCGUGGCCGGCCCUAAAGACAGUGGCGGCGCCGCCUGGCCCUCAGCGUAGUACAGCUCUCGCUCCAGGGUCCGGCGGCCGCCUGCCGGAACCCCCCCAACUCUGUGGUUGACCUCGGAUCAGGUAGGGAUACCCGCUGAACUUAAGCAUAUCAAUAAGCGGAGGA
RNAcentral lists this unclassified non-coding RNA (325 nucleotides) under soil metagenome. Its description in RNAcentral is "partial contains 5.8S ribosomal RNA, internal transcribed spacer 2, and large subunit ribosomal RNA". The stretch from base 1 to 120 matches the Rfam family "5.8S ribosomal RNA", at positions 35 to 154 of the family's 154-position model. The record is from RNAcentral.